Molecule: ribosomal RNA, 466 nt
Filed under: uncultured bacterium
Lineage: Bacteria
Description: partial 16S ribosomal RNA
Rfam family: Bacterial small subunit ribosomal RNA
Source: RNAcentral
CUACGGGCGGCAGCAGUGGGGAAUAUUGGACAAUGGGGGAAACCCUGAUCCAGCAAUGCCGCGUGUGUGAAGAAGGCCUGCGGGUUGUAAAGCACUUUCGGUUGGGAGGACUGCUUCUAGCACUAAUAUUGUUGGAAGUUGACGUUACCUUCAGAAGAAGCACCGGCUAACUCCGUGCCAGCAGCCGCGGUAAUACGGGAGGGUGCAGGCGUUAAUCGGAAUUACUGGGCGUAAAGCGCGCGUAGGCGGCUAGAUCAGUCGGGUGUGAAAGCCCCGGGCUUAACCUGGGAACUGCAUCCGAUACUGUCUAGCUUGAGUACAGGAGAGGAGAGUGGAAUUCCACAUGUAGCGGUGAAAUGCGUAGAUAUGUGGAGGAACACCAAUGGCGAAGGCAGCUCUCUGGCCUGAUACUGACGCUGAGGUGCGAAAGCGUGGGGAGCAAACAGGAUUAGAUACCCGCGUAGUC